CUGAUUUCUGGGGAAAGUGCAAUGUUGGGUGUUUCUAUCCCUGUCCCAACAGGAAGAACUAAGUGUAGGACAGAAGGACAAGUCCAGGCCCAGAUUUCCCUUUAGACUGGAACCUGAUGGACUUCUUCAGUCCAGGCAGGCAGGCAGGAUCUCAUUUUGGGAGGGACAGCCCCUGCUGCAGUUUGGCAGGUGGACACAGGGACAGACAGACAGGAAGUGAUGAAAAUGACAGCAUCCAAGAAGAAGAUUUCAGGGAAUCUGCUGUAUCUGCCUUCUGUGAGCUUCCCAGGUACUGAAGCAGUUCCUAAGAUUUUACUGAGAGAAAAAGAGAGAGUUCAAAGCGAACCGCAUAGCCUAAUAGGACAGAUAGGCGCACAGGUACAAAUGUGGACUUCCGGUGUUGCGUGUAGUACUUUUCCCAGAAUUCC
This 428-nucleotide long non-coding RNA is filed under the name Chinchilla lanigera (long-tailed chinchilla). RNAcentral's name for it is "lncRNA (ENSCLAG00000023539.1)". The record is from RNAcentral. Lineage: Eukaryota; Metazoa; Chordata; Mammalia; Rodentia; Chinchillidae.